GAUGAACGCUGGCGGCGUGCCUAAUACAUGCAAGUCGAGCGAACAGACGAGGAGCUUGCUCCUCUGACGUUAGCGGCGGACGGGUGAGUAACACGUGGAUAACCUACCUAUAAGACUGGGAUAACUUCGGGAAACCGGAGCUAAUACCGGAUAAUAUAUUGAACCGCAUGGUUCAAUAGUGAAAGACGGUUUUGCUGUCACUUAUAGAUGGAUCCGCGCCGCAUUAGCUAGUUGGUAAGGUAAAGGCUUACCAAGGCGACGAUGCGUAGCCGACCUGAGAGGGUGAUCGGCCACACUGGAACUGAGACACGGUCCAGACUCCUACGGGAGGCAGCAGUAGGGACUCUUCCGCAAUGGGCGAAAGCCUGACGGAGCAACGCCGCGUGAGUGAUGAAGGUCUUCGGAUCGUAAAACUCUGUUAUUAGGGAAGAACAAAUGUGUAAGUAACUAUGCACGUCUUGACGGUACCUAAUCAGAAAGCCACGGCUAACUACGU
This 496-nucleotide ribosomal RNA is filed under the name uncultured bacterium. RNAcentral describes it as "partial 16S ribosomal RNA". It matches the Rfam family "Bacterial small subunit ribosomal RNA", at positions 28 to 506 of the family's 1533-position model. The record is from RNAcentral.